GGGUUCGAUUCCGGAGAGGGAGCCUGAGAAACGGCUACCANNNNCAAGGAAGGCAGCAGGCGCGCAAAUUACCCAAUCCCAACACGGGGAGGUAGUGACAAUAAAUAACAAUAUGGGGCCCUUACGGGUCUCGUAAUUGGAAUGAGUACAAUUUAAAUCUCUUAACGAGGAACAAUUGGAGGGCAAGUCUGGUGCCAGCAGCCGCGGUAAUUCCAGCUCCAAUAGCGUAUAUUAAAGUUGUUGCAGUUAAAAAGCUCGUAGUUGAAUUUCGGAAUUUGUCGGUUGGUCGGGCUUCACUGUCCGCACUGACCUGAUGGAUUCCUACCUUCUGAAUAACCAGCAUGCCAUUAAUUUAGUGCGUUGGGGAAGCAGAGCUAUUACCUUGAAAAAAUUAGAGUGCUUAAAGCAGGCUUGUGCUUGAAUAGAUUAGCAUGGAAUAAUAAAAUAGGACGGCAUGGUUCUAUUUUGUUGGUUUCUAGGAUCACCGUAAUGAUUAAUAGGGAUAGUUGGGGGCAUUA
Molecule: ribosomal RNA, 518 nt
Filed under: uncultured Glomeromycotina
Lineage: Eukaryota; Fungi; Glomeromycota
Description: SSU rRNA
Rfam family: Eukaryotic small subunit ribosomal RNA
Source: RNAcentral